This 243-nucleotide ribosomal RNA is filed under the name uncultured Actinomycetales bacterium. RNAcentral describes it as "partial 16S ribosomal RNA". It matches the Rfam family "Bacterial small subunit ribosomal RNA", at positions 88 to 334 of the family's 1533-position model. The record is from RNAcentral. Lineage: Bacteria; Bacillati; Actinomycetota; Actinomycetes; Actinomycetales.
CUGACGAGUGGCGAACGGGUGAGUAACACGUGGGUGAUCUGCCCUGCACUUCGGGAUAAGCUUGGGAAACUGGGUCUAAUACCGGAUAGGAACCAUCUUUAGUGUGGUGGUUGGAAAGUUUUUUCGGUGUAGGAUGAGCUCGCGGCCUAUCAGCUUGUUGGUGGGGUAAUGGCCUACCAAGGCGGCGACGGGUAGCCGGCCUGAGAGGGUGUACGGCCACAUUGGGACUGAGAUACGGCCCAG